This 1318-nucleotide long non-coding RNA is filed under the name Macaca nemestrina (pig-tailed macaque). RNAcentral describes it as "lncRNA (ENSMNEG00000045991.1)". The record is from RNAcentral. Lineage: Eukaryota; Metazoa; Chordata; Mammalia; Primates; Cercopithecidae.
AGAAUACAUUUGAAUUUUUUUCCCUUUUUAAAAAACUUAUAAGUUCAUAGGUACAUGUGCAGGAUGUGCAGGUUUGUUACAUAGGUAAAUGUGUGUCAUGGGGGUUUGUUACACAGAUUAUUUCAUCACCCAAAAUACACUUUAACAAUAGACAAUAAUUAUUUCCCUUAUUGAGAUUGGCAGCCACCAGGGAAAGGGAAAUUUUGGUAGUUACAAUUGGGAAGAUGAAGGAUAGAGAGGUAUAUUUUGAGAAAAAAGUGUAGAUGGGGUAGCAGUUUGGAUUAUUGUGGUGUCACAUGAGGACUCUUAUCCCAGGGGGGUUGGAUAAACUAGGUAGGGGUAAAUGCUUUUUGAUUACUUUUGCAUACCUGUCUUUGGUUCUAUUGCUUGUUUUGCCAUGAAAGUAAUUUAAAAUUCUAGAUUAGCGAUGCCUAAGUUCGAGUAUUAGGUCUGAUUUGGAGGGAUCAAAUUUUAUUAUCAGUGUUUACUUAGCAGUUUCACUUUGUCUAGCCCAGGACUUCCUUAAUGUUUCUCUCCUUUCCAUUCUUCCUUCAGAGUCACGGAGAAGAGGAGACAGCGUGUGCAAGGGAAUGAAGAAAAGGACCAAGACUAUUUUCAAAUCACCCAUGGCACUACUAGAAAAGUAUUUCAGCAAAAAGACUGACUGAUUUUAUGAUUCCUGUGUCCACCACAUCCCUCUAAUUUUUACAUACGUACCCCACAUCUCUCCAGAUUUCAGGAAGACUAUUAUUCUUUGACUUUAGCUUUCUGAUGGGUUCACAAAAAGCUGUUAGUGUGCUGUUGGUCCAGCUUUUUUCUUGUUGGAAAUAUGAGAGCUACAGUUCUGAGAUGAAACCACAGUGGAGACAAUGUAUUCACAGGUUUCAGAGUGUGGCUACUUGCUGUGAAAGCUGAGAAUGAAGCACUGCAUUAGCGAGUCCUGAAGAUCCUUUCCAGCUCUUUGAUUAUUUGACAUUCUGACUGGCACAAAGAGGCACACCUGCAAUCCUACUGAGCUUUCCAUGGAUCAUUAAUGAUUUUUCAUAGUGAAGGAAGCAGAGGUAAUGUAGACUCUGAAAGCUGAUACUUCUCACUGUAGAUGUAUACUCUUGUGUUACAGUGUUUUUGUAUGUGAGAAUUUCCACCUACCAACCCUUGAAGGUCUCUGAGCACAAGGGAUUGACUGAGUGCACUUUAAGUUAAAAUACCUCGUGCAAACCCAGCAUGGUGUACCUGCAGUGAGGAGACUGUUAUGGAUGCUCAUUUCAUAUCUUUUACAGCUUAUGCUCUGCAUAUGCUGUUUAAGCCUUGUCUCUCU